RNAcentral lists this ribosomal RNA (370 nucleotides) under uncultured eukaryote. RNAcentral describes it as "partial 18S ribosomal RNA". It matches the Rfam family "Eukaryotic small subunit ribosomal RNA", at positions 592 to 976 of the family's 1831-position model. The record is from RNAcentral.
CAAUAGCGUAUAUUAAAGUUGUUGCAGUUAAAAAGCUCGUAGUCGGAUUUCUGGUCGGAAGCUCCUGUCCUCUGAUGAGCGUACAAGUGCGUCCUACCAUCCUUCUGUUAACCUUUAAGGCUUUCGCGGCUUUCUAGGGGCUCAGAUAUUUUACCUUGAGAAAAUUAGAGUGUUUCAGGCAGGCUAGCGCCGGAAUACAUUAGCAUGGAAUAAUGGAAUAGGACUUUUGCCUCUUCUGUUGGUCAUGAGGCUCGAGUAAUGAUUAAUAGGGAUAGUUGGGGGCAUUAGUACUUAACUGUCAGAGGUGAAAUUCUCGGAUUUGUUAAAGACUAACUUAUGCGAAAGCAUUUGCCAAGGAUGUUUUCAUUAA